UACGUAGGGUGCAAGCGUUAAUCGGAAUUACUGGGCGUAAAGCGUGCGCAGGCGGUUUUGUAAGUCUGAUGUGAAAUCCCCGGGCUCAACCUGGGAACUGCAUUUGUGACUGCAUCGCUGGAGUGCGGCAGAGGGGGAUGGAAUUCCGCGUGUAGCAGUGAAAUGCGUAGAUAUGCGGAGGAACACCGAUGGCGAAGGCAAUCCCCUGGGCCUGCACUGACGCUCAUGCACGAAAGCGUGGGGAGC
This 246-nucleotide ribosomal RNA is filed under the name uncultured bacterium. RNAcentral describes it as "partial 16S ribosomal RNA". It matches the Rfam family "Bacterial small subunit ribosomal RNA", at positions 524 to 769 of the family's 1533-position model. The record is from RNAcentral.